AUGGCCAAGACCAACCAAGAGGCCCUGGUGGACCCAAGCCAGGCAUUAAAGCCACUCUGGAGUUUCAGGUGGCCGUCAGGAGACCGACCCGAGGGCCACACAGGGUUAGGUAAGAAGCACAGCCUGGCCCAAGCUUGUCAGGUUGGAAAGGGAGCCUCAGAAGGGAAGGAUCCAGGAAGACUUGACCCAGAGAAGGGUGAUGGAAUCCUCAGUGGAGACCUCCUGCUGUUCCCCAGACAGCCUUCAGGUACUUCCCAGGGGCGGCUUAAAGGAUGAUUGUGCCAUCUGAGUGACCCGGACAGACCUUUCAGAGCCCACAGAAACCACUUCACCACCAGGAGAUGCUGAGAUAAGGAAAGAUGAAAAGCUGCAAAAACAAUGUAUUCUGUUUGUCAUCAAUUCAUAUCCAUUUGAGUUGGAGAUCCCCAGCCUAUCAGCCGUGAUUCACUGACUUGUUCUCUGUGCACUUCUUCCCAUUCCCUUCUCAAGGCAUAUAAAGUCUAAGGGAUUGACCGAGGAACAUGUUAAAGACGUGUCCUUUGUGUUCAUUCAUUCAUUCAUUUGUGGGAGACUCUCCCAUCAGUGAAAACAGCAGGUGCCUCACGAAAUAGUGGGCCAUGGGGGAAGACACAUGUUUUGGAUCUUAGGGAAGGGCACUCACCCGUCUCGGUGACUAGUGCAUGUCCUUGGGCCCAGCUCUGCAUGAACAAGGGUCAUAGUCUAUGUUGCCCCAGCCUCGUUCUUUCCUGAUACAGCCUCGAGCCAGGAGCUGUGAUGCACUUUGGACUUUCAGAGGGCUGCAUGAAUGGGAGUCAUUGUGAGAAUCACAAGAAACCCUCAUGCUGCCCCACACCUGUCGGCCAGGUAUCCUAACUCUCCAGAGAUCCGCCCUUGUAGUGGUCAGAGCCUCUGGAGCAUGUGCCCGCCCCUGGGGCAGGUUGUCCUUCUGUCUUGUAUUGCAUGAGAAUAGCUCGUUUCUAUUCAGGUGAGAGUUAGCCUAGAUUAAUAGUUUGUUUGGAAAGAAUGUCUGUAUCGUAUUUAUUGGUAAUAAUUUAUUCUUUCUUGAAAAAGGACCACAUUAAAGGCACUUUCCACAGCAAGGUUGUUUUUAAGUAAGCAUUAAACAUCUAAAUGUAGAAUUCAUUAUUUUUAAAACAAUCUGUCUUUGAAGGACAGAAAAGUAAAUCUCUUUUAGAAACAAUGAAAAUUAGCUUUGCAAGCAAAGAAUUGAUGCUUCUUGAUUGAUUACUGGAAGUCUGAUUAUUGUAUAAAAAAACCCACUAGGGGCAGCUAGGUGGCGCAGUGGAUAGAGCAUCAGCCCUUUAGUCAGGAGGACCUGAGUUCUAAUCUGUUCUCAGACACUUAACACUUCCUGGCUGUGUGACCCUGGGCAAGUCACUUAACCCAACAGCCUCAGGGGGAAAAAAAAGAAAAAGUGACAAGAAAAAAAAAGUUCCUGUGAGAUACUGGCUUAACUCUGAGAUGCUUAUUAGCUCUUCAGAUUUUGUGAUGUUUUCAUAAGUGAAAAUCUAAAAUGACAAUUUUACAUUUUGGCCAUUAAUUUCACUUUAACUUACAGUUAAAUCUUUACAAGAUUUCAUCACAGUGAUUUCUUUUUCCACCAGUCCACAUGACAGGGACCUCCAUGAGUUGCCCUAAAGACAAAAUCCUACCUGCUGACCAGACCUCUGCAGACCUUCUUCAGAUUGGCCAGGCCUUAGAUGUCAGGCCUGGAGAGUCCUGAGGUUACUGGCCGCCUUUCCAGAAAUAUUAAAAAGGAAGAGCACAGAAGGUAGCAGGCCACAUUCCCCAGCUAGGAGACAACUGAGAAUGAUGUUGAUGGGGGCGAGAUCAUGAAAAGAGCCUGGGAGCAUUUUCAAAAUGGCAGCGCCAUGGCUGGUGUGCUGACUUUGGCUAGCUCCCUGAUGCCCAGCUUGCUGUUCCCUACGGUGGCCCAGGUCUGAAAUUUAAGUAUCCCCUGGCUUUGGUUCCCCUUGUACUUUUAAAAUACAAUUUGAGGAUUUGGCUGAAGACUGAGGAGGUAAAUGAAGACCUCCUGCUAUUCCAUAUGAGGUUAGUACCUCUAGAUCCAGCUUAACCUAGAGUAAAUUGUUCCUAAGGUUAGCACUUGGUGGGAAAUGACUGUGUAAGUAACUGCUGCUCUGCCCAAGGCCUGGGAGAAAGCCUGGUUUUCCACAAGUGUGGCUCAUAGCAGCAGUGCCUGAUCCCCCUCCCUCAGCCCCAAGGAGGAGUAGUUAGCACCAGGAAAAGCAGCUCAAUGUCCUUUCCUACCCCAAGGAAGUCGAUGAAUGCCCGUCUGUGUGUAAGACUGCCAUAUAAUAUUACUAUGUGAAUAAGCAGAAUCUUGCCAGAAACUUCAGAAAAACUAGUCUCUUGCUGAUUACAAUGCAUCUCUAUGUGCUAGCAAUAUUUGCCUCUAUCAAACACUUUUUAUGGAAAGAUUGAUGUUAGUUAGAUCUCCAUGUCAAACCCUAGCAUCGUGUCAACAGAACUUGCGCAUCUAAAUGUGGUAUCGUGAAAUAAAAGUUUAAAAUGACAUCUCAGAAUUGCUUCUUCGUAUGCACUUUUUAAAAUUCUCUCUUCUCUCAAUUCAUUCCUUUUUAUGUCUCUUUAAAAAUAAUGAACAUGACUAAUGUGGAAAUACAUUGAAUAUGAUUAUACAUGUAUGAUCUCUAUCAAAUUCAUUGACAUCUUGGGGAGAAAGGAGGGAGAAAAAGUGGAAAUCAAAAUCUUAUAAAAGAAAAUGUCAAAAAUAUAUAUAUUUUAUUUAAAGUGAGAACACCAUAAGGCAGUGAGGCUAUGGGGCUGCAUCCUAGGUCAGUGUCCUGGAGGCAGGAGUUCUCUGGUCUCUAUGUCCUUUGUAUUCCUUUUCUGUUUUUCUUUUUUCUUAUUCUUUUCUUUCAAUAAAAUAAAUUUUUUUCUGCAAGCUAUCAGACAAAAUCAAUUCAAAUAUCAAGGAGAAAGAGUCAGGAUUACCUAGGAUAUGGCAGCUUCUACCAUAAAGGAUCGAAGAGCCUGGAAUACCACAUUCAAGAAAAUAAAGGACCUAGGGUUAUAACCAAGAAUUAACUAUCCAGAAAGAUUCAGUACCGUCUUUCAGGGGAGAAGAUGCAUGUUCAAUGAAGUAAGAGACUUUCAAUCAUUUCUAUUGGAAAAAAAAUCAGAACGGAAAAUUUAAUCUUAUAAACAUAGGACUCAAGAGAAGUAUAGAAAGGUAAAUGGGAAAAAUGCAUAUUGUUUAAUGUUUAAACUGUUUAUAUCCCUAGAUGGGGAAAGAAUAUCUGUAACUCUUGAGAACUGUAUCUGUCACUGGGGCAGACAAAUGAGGGCAUCAUAUAAACUCAGAGUGUGGUUGUGAAUGGAAAAAAAUAAAAUAAAAUAAAAUAAAUUUUUAAAAAUUCUAGAUGAUGGAGGGAAAAGACACAGCAAUCAAUCACCACAAGCUACCUUCUCAACGCACUUCACAGGCAGGAGUGAUUUUUAUUACACUUUUCAGAAGAUUUAACCCAAAUAUUCCCAUGCAAAAUGCUUUACACCAAGGACAGUUGAACCCAUUAGAGGCAGAGGCUAUUGUUGGUCAGCUAUAUUGAUGAUAUGGGUGAUAUCGAAGGCAAAAUCAAAUAAGGGAAGAAGAUUCCCAGAGAGAGGCACAGGUGUGCCUUCGGGCAUAGCAGCAGGCCCAGAGCCAAGGCAAGGGCACUUCUGCUAAUGGAGGAGGGAGGUCCCUCAUGGCAGCCCCAGCACCUGAUUCUUGGGGUGGCCCCUUCAGAACAUCAUUGUUGACACGGAGGGGGCCAGCCCUGUAAUCCCUCUAAGAAUAAAAGAUUAACCACCACUCUAGUCUUUUCUCCAAAAAAAAUUGUUUUUCAACUCAGGAUUUGGGGGGCUUAUUUCCAUGAAAUUCCUGAAGUUGCAAAGGGAGUGAAGGAGAAAAUGAAUUUCUUUUUAUCUGUCCAGGGCUUUGCAGACAUUACCUCCUUUUACUCUUACAACAAUUCUAUGAGGUCAGCGAUGUUAUUAUGAUCUCCAUUUUACAUUUGAGGAAACUGAGGUAGACAAUGAUCUGUCCACUGUCUCACCACUAGGAAGUGUCUGAAACUGCAUUUGAACUCGGGUCUUUCUGCCUCCAGGCCCUGUACUCUCUCUCCUCUCUUAGCAGCCUCUAUCUGGGUCUCCCUGCCUCUGCUCUCCCUCUCGUGGAGGGAGAUUUACUACACAAGUUCCUCCACUCCUCUAAAAUCUCCAGUGGACUCAUGCUCCCAUCACACAACAGUGCAGAGUGACCGCCAAGGCUGACCUCACGCCAGUGCUCCUCCUCUUUUCCUGAUCACAUGGGACUCCCCUCCACACUCCAACCACACAAACCCUGAAAGCUCUUCUCUCCAUUCGCCUACACUUGUGCCCGUCCUGUUAAAUUCUAUUGAUUCUUUUAAGCCCAACUCAAAUGCCCUUCAGGAAGAUUCAGCUGAGUAAAAAAAGAGCGGGACCCAGUCGGGGGACCCUGGUCAAGUCACAAACUAGCCUCUGUCUGCCUUCAUCUUCUCAUCUAUAAAAUGGGAAUAGCAGCAGCUGCCACCUCAGAAGCCCUUGUAAGAAUCAAACGAGUUACUAUAUGUGAUGUAUUAUAAUGGUCCCUCUGAGUGACAAUCUCCCCCUGCCCCCACAUAGACACAUACCUGGAC
Molecule: long non-coding RNA, 4703 nt
Organism: Sarcophilus harrisii (Tasmanian devil)
Lineage: Eukaryota; Metazoa; Chordata; Mammalia; Dasyuromorphia; Dasyuridae
Source: Ensembl